RNAcentral lists this ribosomal RNA (441 nucleotides) under uncultured bacterium. Its description in RNAcentral is "partial 16S ribosomal RNA". It matches the Rfam family "Bacterial small subunit ribosomal RNA", at positions 338 to 795 of the family's 1533-position model. The record is from RNAcentral.
CCUACGGGUGGCAGCAGUGGGGAAUAUUGCACAAUGGGGGAAACCCUGAUGCAGCGACGCCGCGUGGGUGACGAAGUAUUUCGGUAUGUAAAGCCCUAUCAGCAGGGAAGAAGAUGACAGUACCUGACCAAGAAGCCCCGGCUAACUACGUGCCAGCAGCCGCGGUAAUACGUAGGGGGCAAGCGUUAUCCGGAUUUACUGGGUGUAAAGGGAGCGUAGGUGGCAUGGCAAGCCAGAAGUGAAAACCCGGGGCUUAACCCCGCGGAUUGCUUUUGGAACUGUUAGGCUGGAGUGCAGGAGGGGCAGGCGGAAUUCCUGGUGUAGCGGUGAAAUGCGUAGAUAUCAGGAGGAACACCGGUGGCGAGGGCGGCCUGCUGGACUGUAACUGACACUGAGGCUCGAAAGCGUGGGGAGCAAACAGGAUUAGAUACCCGUGUAGUC